GCUGUAGUAGCUCAGUGGUAGAGCACUCCCUUGGUAAGGGAGAGGUCUGAAGUUCAAAUCUUCUCGGCAGCACCA
RNAcentral lists this transfer RNA (75 nucleotides) under Paracoccaceae bacterium. Its description in RNAcentral is "Rhodobacteraceae bacterium (marine metagenome) tRNA-Thr". It matches the Rfam family "tRNA". Rfam says of the family: Transfer RNA (tRNA) molecules are approximately 80 nucleotides in length. Lineage: Bacteria; Pseudomonadati; Pseudomonadota; Alphaproteobacteria; Rhodobacterales; Paracoccaceae. The record is from RNAcentral.